RNAcentral lists this long non-coding RNA (349 nucleotides) under Actinidia chinensis (golden kiwifruit). Its description in RNAcentral is "long non-coding RNA (ACHI_LNC000256)". The record is from RNAcentral. Lineage: Eukaryota; Viridiplantae; Streptophyta; Magnoliopsida; Ericales; Actinidiaceae.
AGCAGCAGUUUCAGAUAACUCAGCAGCGGCCUAUGACUUAGGUCACCAGCCAUUAGCAUUGACUCAGCAGCACUCAAUGUCAUUAUCUCAUCAACCACCAGUACCUCCAAGUUUCUUCCUGUUGGCCUUAUUCAGCCUUCUGGAAUGGUUUACUAUGGGCACACUAACCAUUACCAGUGACUCUUACAGUCCGAUUAUAAUAUUAUGUUAUAGGGGGACUUUCUUUUAUGGGAAUGUGGAUUUUUUGUUUGUGAAUAUUUCCUUGUUCAGAUGAUUAGACAUGGAAAUGUCCAACUAAUUAUACGGGUAUAUGCAUUUGGAAAGCAACUGAUAGUGCCUGGGAAGAGUA